UUGAAUACAUUUUGGGUUGGUUGUUGCUGGCUCUUAGGGGGCAUGUGCACACCAACUCCAAUUUUCAACCCCCUGUGCACCCUUGCAUGGAUCUGAAAGUUUUGAGGAGACUCAGUUUGAGAAUUGUUGUGCGAGAGAGCCAACUUUUUCUUGUCUUUAGAUCUGUGUUUUCACACACAACCAAUGAUAUAUUUGAAUGUAACAAAUAUAGGCUUUUGUGCCUUUAAAAAAAUAACAUAAGUA
RNAcentral lists this unclassified non-coding RNA (243 nucleotides) under uncultured Agaricomycetes. Its description in RNAcentral is "sequence contains ITS1". Lineage: Eukaryota; Fungi; Basidiomycota; Agaricomycetes. The record is from RNAcentral.